UAGUUGGUGAGGUAACGGCUCACCAAGGCGACGAUCAGUAGCUGGUCUGAGAGGAUGAUCAGCCACAUUGGGACUGAGACACGGCCCAAACUCCUACGGGAGGCAGCAGUGGGGAAUAUUGGACAAUGGGCGCAAGCCUGAUCCAGCCAUGCCGCGUGAGUGAUGAAGGCCCUAGGGUUGUAAAGCUCUUUUGUGCGGGAAGAUAAUGACGGUACCGCAAGAAUAAGCCCCGGCUAACUUCGUGCCAGCAGCCGCGGUAAUACGUAGGGGGCAAGCGUUGUCCGGAUUUAUUGGGCGUAAAGAGCGUGUAGGCGGCCAGAUAGGUCUGCUGUGAAAUUUCGAGGCUUAACCUCGAGAGGUCGGCGGAAACCAUUUGGCUAGAGUCCGGAAGAGGAGAGCGGAAUUCCUGGUGUAGCGGUGAAAUGCGCAGAUAUCAGGAAGAACACCCGUGGCGAAGGCGGCUCUCUGGGACGGUACUGACGCUGAGACGCGAAAGCGUGGGGAGCGAACAGGAUUAGAUACCCUGGUAGUCCACGCCGUAAACGAUGGGUGCUAGGUGUGGGCGGUGUCGACUCCGUCUGUGCCGAAGCUAACGCAUUAAGCACCCCGCCUGGGGAGUACGGCCGCAAGGCUAAAACUCAAAGGAAUUGACG
Molecule: ribosomal RNA, 653 nt
Filed under: uncultured Alphaproteobacteria bacterium
Lineage: Bacteria; Pseudomonadati; Pseudomonadota; Alphaproteobacteria
Description: SSU rRNA
Rfam family: Bacterial small subunit ribosomal RNA
Source: RNAcentral